GACGAACGCUGGCGGCGUGCUUAACACAUGCAAGUCGAACGGAAAGGCCCUGCUUUUGUGGGGUGCUCGAGUGGCGAACGGGUGAGUAACACGUGAGUAACCUGCCCUUGACUUUGGGAUAACUUCAGGAAACUGGGGCUAAUACCGGAUAGGAGCUCCUGCUGCAUGGUGGGGGUUGGAAAGUUUCGGCGGUUGGGGAUGGACUCGCGGCUUAUCAGCUUGUUGGUGGGGUAGUGGCUUACCAAGGCUUUGACGGGUAGCCGGCCUGAGAGGGUGACCGGCCACAUUGGGACCGAGAUACGGCCCAGACUCCUACGGGAGGCAGCAGUGGGGAAUCUUGCACAAUGGGCGGAAGCCUGAUGCAGCAACGCCGCGUGCGGGAUGAUGGCCUUCGGGUUGUAAACCGCUUUCGCCUGUGACGAAGCGUGAGUGACGGUAAUGGGUAAAGAAGCACCGGCUAACUACGUG
Molecule: ribosomal RNA, 468 nt
Filed under: uncultured bacterium
Lineage: Bacteria
Description: partial 16S ribosomal RNA
Rfam family: Bacterial small subunit ribosomal RNA
Source: RNAcentral